AUUGAACACUGGCGGCAUGCUUUACACAUGCAAGUCGAACGGCAGCACGGGUGCUUGCACCUGGUGGCGAGUGGCGGACGGGUGAGUAAUACAUCGGAACGUGUCCUGAAGUGGGGGAUAACGCAUCGAAAGAUGUGCUAAUACCGCAUAUACUCUGAGGAGUAAAGUAGGGGAUCGAAAGACCUUAUGCUUUUGGAGCGGCCGAUGUCUGAUUAGCUAGUUGGUGGGGUAAUUGCCCACCAAGGCGACGAUCAGUAGUUGGUCUGAGAGGACGACCAGCCACACUGGGACUGAGACACGGCCCAGACUCCUACGGGAGGCAGCAGUGGGGAAUUUUGGACAAUGGGCGCAAGCCUGAUCCAGCAAUGCCGCGUGAGUGAAGAAGGCCUGGUUGUAAGAUCUUCUAGUUGUAGAAGAAAGAAUAGUAACUAAUAAUUAACUAGUUAC
This 447-nucleotide ribosomal RNA is filed under the name uncultured bacterium. RNAcentral's name for it is "bacterial SSU rRNA". It matches the Rfam family "Bacterial small subunit ribosomal RNA", at positions 30 to 480 of the family's 1533-position model. The record is from RNAcentral.